AAUAAAGUAAGCUAAUUAUAUUAAGCUAUUGGGCUCAUACCCCAAAUAUGAUUUAAAAUCCUUUAUUA
This 68-nucleotide transfer RNA is filed under the name Dermacentor niveus. RNAcentral's name for it is "tRNA-Met". The record is from RNAcentral. Lineage: Eukaryota; Metazoa; Arthropoda; Arachnida; Ixodida; Ixodidae.